GCGGGUGUAGCUCAAUGGUAGAGCGUUGGCCUUCCAAGCCAAUUACGUGGGUUCGAUUCCCAUCACCCGCUCCA
This 74-nucleotide transfer RNA is filed under the name Bacillota bacterium. Its description in RNAcentral is "tRNA-Gly". It matches the Rfam family "tRNA". From Rfam's summary of the family: Transfer RNA (tRNA) molecules are approximately 80 nucleotides in length. Their secondary structure includes four short double-helical elements and three loops (D, anti-codon, and T loops). Lineage: Bacteria; Bacillati; Bacillota. The record is from RNAcentral.